UAUUGUUUCCCGCAGCGGAAGCGUGCUGGGCCCAUAACCCAGAGGUCGAUGGAUCGAAACCAUCCUCUGCUAA
RNAcentral lists this transfer RNA (73 nucleotides) under Albula glossodonta (roundjaw bonefish). RNAcentral describes it as "tRNA-OTHER". Lineage: Eukaryota; Metazoa; Chordata; Actinopteri; Albuliformes; Albulidae. The record is from RNAcentral.